CGAUGCGGGAUGAACCGGAAGCCGGGUUACGGUGCCCAACUGCGCGCUAACCUAGAACCCACAAAGGGUGUUGGCCGAUUAAGACAGCAGGACGGUGGUCAUGGAAGUCGAAAUCCGCUAAGGAGUGUGUAACAACUCACCUGCCGAAUCAACUAGCCCCGAAAAUGGAUGGCGCUUAAGCGCCAUCCAUUUUAGGGGCUAGUUGAUUCGGCAGGUGAGUUGUUACACACUCCUUAGCGGAUUUCGACUUCCA
This is a non-coding RNA of Gossypium arboreum, 253 nucleotides long. NCBI's taxonomy places the organism in Eukaryota, Viridiplantae, Streptophyta, Magnoliopsida, Malvales, Malvaceae. The record is from Rfam.